This 395-nucleotide ribosomal RNA is filed under the name uncultured bacterium. RNAcentral describes it as "bacterial SSU rRNA". It matches the Rfam family "Bacterial small subunit ribosomal RNA", at positions 64 to 507 of the family's 1533-position model. The record is from RNAcentral.
GAACGCCCCGCAAGGGGAGUGGCAGACGGGUGAGUAACACGUGGGAACGUGCCCAAAGGUACGGAACAACUCCGGGAAACUGGAGCUAAUACCGUAUGUGUCCGUAAGGAGAAAGAUUUAUCGCCUUUGGAUCGGCCCGCGUCGGAUUAGCUGGUUGGUGGGGUAAAAGCCUACCAAGGCGACGAUCCGUAGCUGGUUUGAGAGAACGACCAGCCACACUGGGACUGAGACACGGCCCAGACUCCUACGGGAGGCAGCAGUGGGGAAUCUUGGACAAUGGGCGCAAGCCUGAUCCAGCCAUGCCGCGUGGAUGAUGAAGGCCUUAGGGUUGUAAAAUCCUUUCGUUGGGGACGAUAAUGACGGUACCCAAAGAAGAAGCUCCGGCUAACUUCGUG